UACAGAGGUCUCAAGCGUUGUUCGGAUUCAUUGGGCGUAAAGGGUGCGUAGGCGGCGCGGUAAGUCGGGUGUGAAAUCUCGGGGCUUAACUCCGAAACUGCAUUCGAUACUGCCGUGCUUGAGGACGGGAGAGGAGACUGGAAUUUACGGUGUAGCGGUGAAAUGCGUAGAUAUCGUAAGGAAGACCAGUGGCGAAGGCGGGUCUCUGGACAGUUCCUGACACUGAGACACGAAGGCCAGGGGAGCAAACGGG
This 253-nucleotide ribosomal RNA is filed under the name uncultured bacterium. Its description in RNAcentral is "partial 16S ribosomal RNA". It matches the Rfam family "Bacterial small subunit ribosomal RNA", at positions 524 to 776 of the family's 1533-position model. The record is from RNAcentral.